CCGACCUGCACCAAGCCAUCGGCAAGGUGCUCUGGAAAGAGGGUGACCUAGCCGGAGCGCGCUACCACCUGAUACGCUCUGACGACGGCCAGACAUGCGCGCGCCUCCUGGUCGACCUGCACACGCAGCGGGGCGCCGCCGACGAGAUCGACCUGUUCAUCACACAGGCCGUCCUACAGUACCUGGCGCUGAAGAACAGCCACGCAGCGGCCGCCUGCUUCGCCGGCUACCUCAAGUGGCACCCGCUGGUGCAGGCCGACGCGCCGCCCUUCACGCUGCCCCUCUUCAACUUCCUCCACUACCUGCUGAAGGCGGUGGAGAGGUGAGA
Pollicipes pollicipes is the source of this 328-nucleotide long non-coding RNA. RefSeq lists it as uncharacterized. Lineage: Eukaryota; Metazoa; Arthropoda; Thecostraca; Pollicipedomorpha; Pollicipedidae. The record is from RefSeq and is a predicted model, not a curated record. The transcript is spliced from 3 exons.